Non-coding RNA from Phascolarctos cinereus (koala), 74 nucleotides. The record is from the annotation of a RefSeq genome assembly. Lineage: Eukaryota; Metazoa; Chordata; Mammalia; Diprotodontia; Phascolarctidae.
GUCUCGGUGGCAUGACUGGUUAGUGUGUGUGGCUGUUAACCACAAGGUUGGUGGUUUGAGCCCACCCAGGGACA